CGGAGGAACUAGGGGCUGAAGGGCUGCAAGACGUCUGUGUCUGUGUGUGUGUGUGGAGGGGUCCAUGCAGGGAAGGAGAUGGGAAACGGGGUGCAAACGGGUGGCGUGAGGGAAGGGUUAGAUCGAAAUAGGCCUCUGGACCCUUCGAGAGCCACUGACUUCAGCAGUAUUUACAGGUGAACACCUGAGCUCUGUGUGGAGACCACAUCUGUGCUGAUGGUGUGAAGUACCACCUUCUCCUCCCUGGUGCUCUCUGACAGAGGUCUUGGUGACACCUUUAUGUUCAUUUCUCCAUUCCUGUGGAGGAAGGAAGCUUCUAUGGGGAGUAUAGUUCUGGUGGUUUUCUUUGAACAGGAGAAGCCACAUGGUUUCUGUUAAGAAAGGAGGGAAAGUAACUCAGUUGUUAAUGCAUUAAUUUUUUCAGAGUGUCAAGAUGAGUUGUGCAUGUGGCUGAGGGUCACUAAACAUUUUUUAAAAGACUUGCAAAGUCAAGUUCUGGCAGUAAUGUAUUGGGCAACUCCAGUGCUGCUGCUGUUGUAAUUGUUUUAAGCAACACAACAAAGCAUCCUGAAUGCAUGUAUGAUACAUACGAACUUGUGACUUCUCUACAGUCAUGGAAGUCCAAAGGUUGGUUUAAUAAAGUUGGUGUUCCUUGAAAAAAA
Long non-coding RNA from Calidris pugnax (ruff), 662 nucleotides. RefSeq lists it as uncharacterized. NCBI's taxonomy places the organism in Eukaryota, Metazoa, Chordata, Aves, Charadriiformes, Scolopacidae. The transcript has 3 exons. The record is from RefSeq and is a predicted model, not a curated record.